UGUAAUUUAUUAAAAUUCCCAUUAAAAUCAACAAACAAAAUUUUUGAAAAAAGGAAUUAUUUUACUAUGAAUUACGAAUCGUGCCGUAUGAACGGGUUAAUUCGUGUACCUAAUUCUGAGAGCGAACAACGUUGUUCGGUUUCCAAUGGAAACAUGUUAUAACAAAAUCUUGGCCGAAUGAACAAUAUCGAAGCAGUGCCUGCCAAUCAUAAAUACUGGCAACCCUCUGAUUAAAAAUAUUAUCGCUUCCACAGCAAGGAGUUACUGAAAAAAGAAUGCAAAAAAAUGCCAAGCGAUAAAGCCGAGACAUCUGUGGCGCACUCCUAUGAAAUAAGAGUUAUAAAAAAAAGAUUACCCACAACAUCGGAUAUGGUCGAUGAUGCCCUAGUUAAUUUACAAGCGAAAAUGGGAGUUUCUUUGAAAAAAAUAACAUCUUACAUUACAGGCAAGUAUGUAAUUUCCAUGAGCGGCCGUCGAAACGCACUUAUUAAGCAAAGACUAAAACAUUUAAUGGAAACAAAAUAUGUAGUUAAUGUGACCGGUGUUGGUUUAAAAGGUAAAAUAAGGAUAGUUAGUAUUGCGAAGUUCCGAAAACUGAUCGAAACACAGAAUUCGAAAGAAGUAAAAGCAAACAGAAACUCUACUGUCAGAGAAGAUACAAAAUCAGAAGGCAUGGAGGCUGACGGAACGCCAUCUCUAGAGCCUCAAAGAACACCCCCAACUCGAAAACGGUUCAGUGUGUUUGACACACCACCAACUGUUACGUUGUCACAAAUAAAUGGUCAUCAUAAUAUAGGGGAUGAUAUAAGGGACUCGUAUAGCACUCCAGUACGAUCAACAACGCCACCUAAAAAGAAACGGAGUCUUACAAAAAUAUUUAAUAUGCAGUAAAUGUAAAUAUGUUUGUUAUUUUUUGUAUAUACUUUAAAAGUAAUUUCGUUUUUGCCAAGAUUUUGAAAAAGUUUGUAUAUAAAUGUAUUUGUUAGUACUUCACGUUAUGGUGGGAUUAAUUUGAAAUAGUUUAAACAUAAGAUUAAUUGCAUUUAUAAUGCAAAGAAAUAGUGUCUCAAAUAUCGGUCUUUAGAAAUUCUUAUGGUUCUUAUUAAACUUAAAAAAAUAUUGUAAUGAAGAUAAUAAUAUGGAGGAACACAGCCUAAAACAUUUGUAACUACAAUGUCAAGAAGCAAAACAAAUAUUUGUUUAUGCGAAUUAAAUUAUUUUUUCUUUAAAAAAAAACAUUGAAAACUAUUUUUGCUCUUUUAGUUUUAGAAAUAAAAUUGGUAAAUAAAAGAUGUUAUAAUAUUGCAUAUAGGCAGACAUUUUUAGGAAUAUUUUUCUGUUUGCGAAAAAUAUUUGCUUAAAUGUGUAUGCGGUAAAUUAUAUUUUUCUAUUAUUAUAAUGUUAAAAUGAACUGUUUUUGUUUUUUUUUUAUCGCUUCAUGUAAUAUUUUUUUAUUUAUAUAGUAAGAACUGUUAUUUGUAUUAAUUAUAUUUUGUAAUUUCAUACAUUAAAAACUACGGUAAAGUUCAUUUUAUUGUAACGUUUAUUUAUAAUCGAUAUUUUUGGAAUAUUUUACUUGUGGUCCAUGGUAAAAUUAUAUAAGGUAAUCUC
This is a long non-coding RNA of Musca domestica (house fly), 1611 nucleotides long. RefSeq lists it as uncharacterized. The transcript has 3 exons. NCBI's taxonomy places the organism in Eukaryota, Metazoa, Arthropoda, Insecta, Diptera, Muscidae. The record is from RefSeq and is a predicted model, not a curated record.